UUUCAUGGUGGAGCUGUAACUGAAUCCAAAAUCACACUUCUGGGAAUCCAGCACCAAUGUUGUAUGAAGGUUUUAAAGUGUGAGAGACCAAGAACAAGGGGGAACCGAGUGGCUAUUUAAUGAGUCCGGGAUGCUGAAUGCAGCUGCUCUUUCAGGAAACUGCAUUUGCAAAGAGCACACAGCAACAUGCAGUAUCCUAAAAGAUGUAUGUGAAGGAGUGAGCAAGAUUGAUUUCCCUAAAUCUUCUGGGCAACCCAAUGCCUAAGGGAAUCCCAGGGAGGGAGGACAGAGCCCGGGCCACACUCCAGUUUCUACGUCCAGCCCUGCGCAGAGGCAUGAGGCAAACUGGAAGCUCCUCAGACGCCCCGUCCCCAUCCCCUGCCCUUCGCCAGCGCGGGCAGAAGGAUGUCCAAGUGCUCAGACAAUGGUGGAGGAAGCAGCUCUGGCUGCAUUUCCCUUCUGCUCCCUGGGGAGUCCGGGGAGCACACAAGCCAGGGCCAGAUUUAGCUCUUGGAUCCACAUGAAACAUCUCUGUGCUGACUGCUCCCUUCCUUCAUGCUCAGCCUCUUGUCAUGGGAGUGGAAGUCGCACACACACACAAGGGGAACAGAAAAGCCGAGUCAAUAUGCAGCAGGCAGAGCCAGGAACACAAUGCGGGCGAAACAAAGAGCGGGGCUGUAUUUACUGCCUUCCCGGUGGCAUUCGCUUCUCGUGCUUGGAGCUGGUUUCCUCUUUUCAUGAGCCUCUUGACCUACAGAUCCCUCUCCUCGGCAGACAGACCCCAAAGCCCUGCGGCUGGAUCCUUAUGCCUCUUCAGAUCAAACCAGCAAAACACUUUGAACACAGAGCCUGAACUGUGUGUUUGCAUCAAGGCUUUAAGCUCCUUGGCGCUGGCACCCGGGGUUCCUAUUUGUUUUCCAACUCCUGAGGACAGCAGUGGUGCUCUCUAAGUCAAUACAAACAAACCAAGAGAGGCUUGAGGCAGCGCAGCAGAGCUUACCCAAGCACCGCCGUCCCUGGGACUGUGCCGUGCUCUAGCCCGGGGAAGGUGCCUCUGGCACUGAUUUGGGCUGUCAGCUCAGGCCAGCACCCCCAAAAUCUCACACACAGAAACCUGGCAGAACAAGGAACUUCCUCAAAAGAAGGGCAUCAAUUGCCCCAUCUGUGCCACCGAGACACCCAGCUUUGGAGGGAGGCACUUUGACAGCUGCUGUAAAAACCCAUCAGAUUUUCAAAGCCUGCUAUUAGUGAUGGAUUUUCAAGUCCCCUCUUU
This is a long non-coding RNA of Gymnogyps californianus (California condor), 1273 nucleotides long. RefSeq lists it as uncharacterized. The record is from RefSeq and is a predicted model, not a curated record. NCBI's taxonomy places the organism in Eukaryota, Metazoa, Chordata, Aves, Accipitriformes, Cathartidae. The transcript is spliced from 3 exons.